Molecule: ribosomal RNA, 351 nt
Filed under: uncultured bacterium gp1
Lineage: Bacteria
Description: bacterial SSU rRNA
Rfam family: Bacterial small subunit ribosomal RNA
Source: RNAcentral
CGAGAAAGUGGAGCAAUCCACGAGUACAGUGGCGUACGGGUGAGUAACACGUGACUAACCUACCCUCGAGUGGGGAAUAACCUCGGGAAACCGGGGCUAACACCGCAUAACAUCUACGGAUCAAAUGCGUAAGCAGCUUGAGGAGGGGGUCGCGGCUGAUUAGCUAGUUGGCGGGGUAAUGGCCCACCAAGGCAAUGAUCAGUAGCCGGCCUGAGAGGGCGCACGGCCACACUGGAACUGAAACACGGUCCAGACUCCUACGGGAGGCAGCAGUGGGGAAUUUUGCGCAAUGGGGGAAACCCUGACGCAGCAACGCCGCGUGGAGGAUGAAGCCCCUUGGGGUGUAAACUC